Long non-coding RNA from Oryzias melastigma (Indian medaka), 1092 nucleotides. RefSeq lists it as uncharacterized. NCBI's taxonomy places the organism in Eukaryota, Metazoa, Chordata, Actinopteri, Beloniformes, Adrianichthyidae. The transcript has 3 exons. The record is from RefSeq and is a predicted model, not a curated record.
GUCAGAGUUUGAUCACUGCUGACUUUCUCAGUUCCUUGGUGUAACGCGUGUUUAGGACAAGGCGCUCUGACUACAGAAGAGAUGUUAGUUUUGAAAAGCCCAGAGUGUGUGAAUUAAAACACAGCAACCCAGUAAAAGAACCAAUUGAUUGUUUUGACCAAACAAACACAGUAUUAAACAUAAAGGGUUCUGUCCUGGAGUUUGGGUGUCCAGAUCCUUUCAAUCCCUGAUGAAGUUUUUUGUCCAAGUUCUGUUCAUUUGUCCUUCCUGAAGGUUCCUUUCAAGUUCAGCUGUCCUCCCUGAAGGGUCUUACACUGGUAGCUCGCCAUCAGAAGAAGCAUAUUUUUUUGCCAUCCAGAAAAAAACAAAAAAAAAAACUGAUUGAAGAGCAGGUCGGAAAUGUAUUUACUUCCUGGUGUGAACGAGUGUUUUUGUUUUUCUUGGUACGGCAGAGAUGCACAGUUUCCAUAACCAGCAGCCAGAGCACGUCCAACCACAGCAAAGCAGCAGUGCUAGCAGCAGGAAGGGGAAGCAGGAAGUGGUCUGGUGUUUUUAACAGGAUGUGGCCCUCCAAAAUAAAGGCACAGCCAGGUUGUGCAGACAGUGAGACCAGAAGUGAUUUUUUUGUGUGUGCUGUAUGUGUUUUCACUGGUAUGUGAGCAUUUAUUUUGAUUAGAAAUAUUUUAUUAUCCUUUGCUUUUUCUUAUUUUAUUCGUAUUUACUUUCAGUAUAUUGUAAUGUACAGUUUUGUUAUUUACUUCAAUAUUUUGUGAUUUAAAAAAAUAUAAAAAUGCCAUUUGCUGAAAAAAAAUGUUAAAAGACUUUAAACUAUAUGAUCACGCUGUAAAUUUUAUUUAAUGUAAUUUUGAAGUAUGUACAAUUCAGUCUCUGGGGGAACGGCCGAGAGGAGGUUGUGCAGACAGUGAGACCAGAAGUGAUUUUUUUGUGUGCUGUAUGUGUUUUCACAGGUAUGUGAGCAUUUAUUUUGAUUAGAAAUAUUUUAUUAUCCUUUGCUUUUUCUUAUUUUAUUCGUAUUUACUUUCAGUAUAUUGUAAUGUACAGUUUUGUUAUUUACUUCAAUAUUUUGUGAUU